ACGCGUGGAACCUUACCUACCCUUGACAUGUCAGGAAGUCUGGAGAGAUCUGGAUGUGCCCGAAAGGGAGCCUGAACACAGGUGCUGCAUGGUUGUCGUCAGCUCGUGUCGUGAGAUGUUGGGUUAAGUCCCGCAACGAGCGCAACCCUUGAUCUUAGUUGCCAGCAUUCAGUUGGGCACUCUAAGGUGACUGCCGGUGACAAACCGGAGGAAGGUGGGGAUGACGUCAAAUCAUCAUGCCCCUUAUGACCUGGGCUACACACGUGCUACAAUGGAUGGUACAAAGGGCAGCAAAGCGGUGACGCCUAGCGAAUCCCAUAAAACCAUUCUCAGUUCGGAUUGUAGGCUGCAACUCGCCUACAUGAAGCCGGAAUCGCUAGUAAUCGCGGAUCAGCAUGCCGCGGUGAAUACGUUCCCGGGCCUUGUACUCACCGCCCGU
RNAcentral lists this ribosomal RNA (439 nucleotides) under uncultured bacterium. RNAcentral describes it as "bacterial SSU rRNA". It matches the Rfam family "Bacterial small subunit ribosomal RNA", at positions 959 to 1397 of the family's 1533-position model. The record is from RNAcentral.